AAAGGACAGAUUUUAUUUACUAAUUACCAAAACCCCAGACAAAUACUUACAGUGAAAUCACCAAAAAACCUACACAAAAUCAAUGAACAUAUUUUAUUUACCAAUUACCAAAACCCCAGACAAAUACUUACAGUAAAAUCACCAAAAAACUUACACAAAAUUAAUUCGUGCAAAAAAUAAAUAACUACCUGAACCAAUUCAUACAAGUUUCCAACUACCUAAACAAGAACAUACAAUCACCAGACUAUAACCCAGAAAAACUUAUUGGAUGGCAAACCAAACAUUUGAAGGGAUAUAACAAAUUAGUAGCAUUAAACAAGACAGACCCAAAACUCAUACAGAUCAUGUAUAAUUAUGGACUAUUGCAUGCGGUAUAUAUGCAAAAUGGAGAUAAUCUACAAUAUAUCCCAGAACUAUAUCAAGUAGUAAAGAAAUACUUGGGAAUUAUCAAAGCAGAUUUA
This 461-nucleotide long non-coding RNA is filed under the name Nicotiana benthamiana. RNAcentral's name for it is "long non-coding RNA (NBEN_LNC037306)". The record is from RNAcentral. Lineage: Eukaryota; Viridiplantae; Streptophyta; Magnoliopsida; Solanales; Solanaceae.